Molecule: non-coding RNA, 28 nt
Filed under: Bombyx mori (domestic silkworm)
Lineage: Eukaryota; Metazoa; Arthropoda; Insecta; Lepidoptera; Bombycidae
Source: RNAcentral
UUACUGUGUGACAGUACUUAUGACCUGA